This 397-nucleotide ribosomal RNA is filed under the name uncultured bacterium. Its description in RNAcentral is "bacterial SSU rRNA". It matches the Rfam family "Bacterial small subunit ribosomal RNA", at positions 28 to 428 of the family's 1533-position model. The record is from RNAcentral.
GACGAACGCUGGCGGCGUGCUUAACACAUGCAAGUCGAGCGGUAAGGCCCUUUCGGGGGUACGACGAGCGGCGAACGGGUGAGUAACACGUGGGUGACCUGCCCUCAGCUCUGGGAUAAGCCUGGGAAACUGGGUCUAAUACCGGAUAUGACUCCAUGACGCAUGUUGUGGGGUGGAAAGCCUUGUGCGGCUGGGGAUGGGCCCGCGGCCUAUCAGCUUGUUGGUGGGGUGAGGCCUACCAAGGCGACGACGGGUAGCCGGCCUGAGAGGGCGACCGGCCACACUGGGACUGAGACACGGCCCAGACUCCUACGGGAGGCAGCAGUGGGGAAUCUUGCGCAAUGGGCGAAAGCCUGACGCAGCGACGCCGCGUGAGGGAUGACGGCCUCGGUUGUAA